GGGGCCGUAGUGUAGCUUGGUCUAUCACUCAAGGCUGGGGGUCUUGCAACCGGAGUUCAAACCAGUCAAGUGAGAUUUUCAAUCUCACGAACUAUCUUAAAAAUCUUGAAAGUCUCCGCGGCCCCA
RNAcentral lists this transfer RNA (126 nucleotides) under Candidatus Woesearchaeota archaeon. Its description in RNAcentral is "tRNA-Pro". Lineage: Archaea; Nanobdellati; Candidatus Woesearchaeota. The record is from RNAcentral.